Molecule: ribosomal RNA, 252 nt
Filed under: uncultured bacterium
Lineage: Bacteria
Description: partial 16S ribosomal RNA
Rfam family: Bacterial small subunit ribosomal RNA
Source: RNAcentral
UACGUAGGUCCCGAGCGUUGUCCGGAUUUAUUAGGCGUAAAGCGAGCGCAGGUGGUUUAUUAAGUCUGGUGUAAAAGGCAGUGGCUCAACCAUUGUAUGCAUUGGAAACUGGUAGACUUGAGUGCAGGAGAGGAGAGUGGAAUUCCAUGUGUAGCGGUGAAAUGCGUAGAUAUUAGGAGGAACACCAGUGGCGAAGGCGGCUUACUGGACUGUAACUGACGUUGAGGCUCGAAAGCGUGGGGAGCAAACAGG